UGCUUGCUUUUUAGGUGGCUGCUAAAGCUCAGGCAGCUACUGACUAUAUGAAUCUAAAAAUCUGGCAAGCAAGAAGGACUGGUUGACAAUCUAUCUGCAAUUUGUGCUUUAAUUGUAAGUGCAGUCUCUUGUUGUAUAUACUGGACUGAUGCCACUGUUGCAGAGCCAGAAGAGAGCAGAUGCUGCAGAUGAAGCUCCAGCCUCAUUCUGGUCAGCCACUAUCUGAGUGCAUGCAGCUCUCCACUUUCUCUCAGCAGAACUCCUUUGCCUUUUAGAAAAUCCCAUUGAUUUAUCUUCACUCAAGAGUUUGUGCCUCCAGAGUUCCACGUCUCAUCCAGAAAGAGCAUGUUUAUUUUGUUGCUGUUACAGAAAAAUAAUGAAUUCUGCAUUUUCACCAAUAGUAAGAGAAACUGACAAUAAGAACAUCAUGAGAAAAUACUACAGAUCUCAUUAGUUAUCAUAGAAUCAUAGAAUGGCCUGGAUUGAAAAGGACCACAAUGAUCAUCCAGUUUCAACCCCCCUGCAACGUGCAGGGUUGCCAACCACCAGACCAGGCUGCCCAGAGCCACAUCCGGCCUGGAAGUCUAGAUGCUCUUUCAUGUUGUUUGGCAUCUGCUGCAUUUGGCAUUUAGAUGCCUCUAAUCUUUCCUUGAAAGACCAGAUCAAAGGAGGUGAGGUGGAAGUGAAGUAUUGGCUAUGUGGAGCUUCCUUCCUGGAGAGGAAAUUGGAGUGCUGAAUUGUUUUUAAGCCUAAGAAAUACAACAAAAUCCUGAGUCGUGCUGCCUUUUAAAUGUCAGUGAAAUUAGUAGAAGGGAGGUUCCAUUGUGUCUACUCGAUUCUGAUAGUGAUGAUGCAUAAGCAUUGGUUUUAUAUUUCUGAGAUGAAGAUGGCAGAACUGUCUGAGAUCACAACUUUGCCUGGAGAGAAUACGAGAUGAAAACCUGAGGUUUCACUGAUGUCCUUACUUGUAGAUGACCUGUAGAGAAGUGCAGGAAGGCAAAUGGAUCUGAACAAUAAAGAGAGGCUGGUGCUAAAGGAUAAAUGCCUGAGCACUUGGAAGGACUCACUAGGAAGUUCAAUGGCAAGUAAGUACCACAGCAGGGUGAGGGCUCUGCUGGACUGCUGUGCAAAACCACUCGAUGGCUCUGAAGAUGAUGAAAUGCCACAAAGAUGGAGCAGCUGACGUCUGAGGAGAGGCUGAGAAGUCUGAGGAGAAGCUCUGAGGUGCUUACUGGUGUGCCCUUACCGGUGGAGGAAGAAGGAGCCAUGCUCUUCCCCAUGGUACCCAGUGACAGGACGUGAGCAUCAGACACCAACUGAAAUACAGACGCGUUAAGCAUAAGAAAAACGUGUGCUAACGGCCGCCCCUCCUCUCCUUCCCUCGACACCGCGGCUCCCGCCCUGCCGGCUGCCCGCGGCCGCCCACGCGUCGGUGUGGGCUCCGCGCCGCAGCAAGCACCUAGGACAGCUCCCGCCCGCGCCGCCUAUUGGUCCGGGCGCGUCACGUGACCGUGCCAUGCCGCCGGGGGGCCGCGGCCGCCGCUGAUUCAUUGGCUGUAGCGGGGCUCGGCUCGGCUCGGCUCGGCUCGGUUUGGUGCGGCGUUGCAGCUACUGCCACCGCCGCUGGGCGGCGCCACAGCAGGCAGGAAGAUUGGAUAUUUCUCAUACAAGACCUUGAGCUGCACUUCAAGUCCUGCACAUUUAAAAUCUUGUGAAUUGGCAAAGAAGCACAGACCAUUUGGCUAAGUAUUUCCUGCAAACUCCUUUCUCAUCUGCGCUUGAAAGUGGCACAGCUUGCUCGAAACAGUAGCCAUAGGUUAGGGUUGUAGAAAGCUGGGUUCUGUGUAUUUUAGCUCAUGCAGGGCAGAGUCGCUAAGUUUGUGCUUCAUUUCCUCAUUGGCUUCUUUGUGAUUGCAUCUCUUAGACCUUGGGCUGGAGUAAAAAGCAAUGCAGUGGUGAUGAUGGCUGGUUUCUUUGCCCCUCAGAAUAUUGCUGUUAUUAUGGGGACUCGGGGCACAGGAACAGCCUGAGUUGUUAACUUGUUGUAGCCAGCAGCUUCUGAUUUAAUUGCACUGCCUAGCCCAUGGAACUGAUGUAUCAAGCUUGCUUAGCUUUGGACUGCUCAGUUCAAAAGUUGCUGCUUUCUGUGCCUGUUUGGUUUCUGGGAUCUUCAUUGUUUACAAGGGGCCAGCAGUUUGUUUAUUCUAUGAAGCCUAUCAAGUGUUCAGACUCUGCAGCAGUAAGCAGAACGGAAACACGAAAAAUUAAUGUAGUUUUUGAUUGAAAGUGUGCCUCAUUUCUUGCAUCUUCCUCAUUGGUAGUUUAUCUUGCUUCAGAUAUGAAUAAGUAGAUUGACCAGUCUGCAUAAAUUUACUGUUGUGUGUGCAGGUCAGAUUUGGAGGUGGUUGUUGCUGGUUACAUACAAGGCCAGUUCCAGAUGUACGCAAAAUCAGCUUUGCCUUGGUGGCCUCAGUGGCAGCUUAAACCACAAAACUGUGCUUCAGACAUGGUUUGUGUCCAGUUUUUCCCUUAGAGAAUCUUUGGUGUCAUUGUGAAAGUGACAUAUUGAAACGCUUCUCACACAGAAAAAUCUAGGUUGGAAGGGACCUCUGGUGGUCAUCUGGUCUGAUCUCCUGCUCAAAGCAUGUUCAAUUAAAUCAGUUACUCAGGAUACGAUACCCCAGGUGUAGUCUCACCGGUGCUGAAUAGAGAAUAAGAAAUGCUUCUCUUGAUGCGCUGACUGCGCUCGUGUUAAUUCAGGUUCCUGUCAGCUGAAUUUUCCAGCUUAUCUGAGUCCCUCUGGAGAUCAAUCUGCCCUUCAGCCUUUUGUCUGU
This is a non-coding RNA of Phasianus colchicus (ring-necked pheasant), 2834 nucleotides long. The record is from RefSeq and is a predicted model, not a curated record. Lineage: Eukaryota; Metazoa; Chordata; Aves; Galliformes; Phasianidae.